Molecule: long non-coding RNA, 1387 nt
Organism: Manihot esculenta (cassava)
Lineage: Eukaryota; Viridiplantae; Streptophyta; Magnoliopsida; Malpighiales; Euphorbiaceae
Exons: 3
Source: RefSeq, a predicted model, not a curated record
AAUUUUCCAUAUCACUGAAUUUUGAUUGUAGAAUUGACAGCUUCUCUAUUUCAGCUUUCUGCUUUUCUACAGUCUCUUCCAGCUCCUGAAGCACUGAAACAAGCUCAACAUUUGACUCUUGACUCCUACUCAACUGCAAGUGAGGAAUCCUCCAAGGCUGCUGGUUUCUCUGUUGACUUCUCCAACAAUAGCUUCAGCUUUUCAACUUCCUUUUGCAGUCCCUCACGUUCUGCACACGCUGCUGACAGCUCCAUCUCCAAAUUUACUUGGUUACUGGACUGGUCUGAGUAUUCUUUCCUCAAUAUCUCUAAGUCAAGCAUUAGCUUCCUGGCAUUCCUCUCCCACAUCUUAGCUUCACUGUGAAGGUCUUCGAUUGUAUCUUCUGCAGCUUCCAAUAGGCUUUUAGAUGAACCUGAAAUUCUCGAAGAUGGUGCAGCCAACUCUUGAAGGUCAUCCACAGAAAGGUUUGCUGAAUGUGUAAUCCGUGAGUUAAAUGAUGAAUGAUCUGAUUGCGAAGCAUUGUCAGAGUUAGAACUGCCUGGAGGUACACCAUUUUGGGAGCUAGUUGAGUCUUGUCUUGCAAUGUGGUUGUCCUCAUCAAUACUCAACUUGUUUGAAGGGGAAAAUACUUCUCUUCCCAUAGAACUCUCUGCUGAGUUAUAGAUAUGAUGUGAUUCUGAACUAGAUAAACUAGCGUCCUGGAAUCCUCCUCCUCCCUUUGACAUAUAAAAAAAAAGUGAGAGACUUGUAUUGCAUCAUAAAUUCCUCAAAUUAUAAAAAGGAGAUUGAUUUCAUUUCCAUUGUGCAACAAGUGAAAAAGAGAUGCAUUCUGCAGAAACAUGCUUCAUAUUAAGACCUUGUUUGCAUUCAACCAAGCAAAGAUGCUGCAAAGUUGGAAGGGAAUAUGUGAUAUUACAUACCCUUGUUUCAUGGUCGUCUUGAUGAGUGAUGGAACCCAAAUCUCUGCUGGAGUAAGAUCUUGCACUCUUUGCAAAUGUAUUAUCAGAUUCCUCUGACUUGACUUCUCCAUCCUUAGAGUCUGCAGUAAGAUCUUCUUUAUGGGAAUUUGAUUCUUUUGAUUCAUCAUCCCUGAAAAUUUAUGCCAGACAAAUCUUCCAUGAACUAACAGAAGGAGAGGGAAAAGAAAAGGAAAAAGGGAAGACUGAAAAUUCCACCACAUAUGUACUAAACCUGAGAUUAAUCCUUGGUGUCAGGCAUUGAAUCUUGAGCUGCAAAUCGUUAUCAAAGGAAAAGUUUGGUGACAAAUUCAAAGAGAAUUAACAAGAAGAAUUAGCCGGAAGCGACAGUAAAAGAGAGAGAAUAUUAUUAGAUAGGUGGUGGAUCAUUGUAGAGAAUUGGGUGAUAUUUUAUGUCUUACCAACUUUGG